GUUAUCCAUCAUAAGGUUAUUUUCAUCUUAACAUGUUUAACUCUCUUAACUUUUUGGAUCUAGCCACCGCCCAAAAUACUUAAACCAGGUUAAGAAUUUUAGACUUACUAUAUCUUAUAUAUAGGGACGUCACAGAUGAAGGAUGUAAGAGAUACACCUCAUAGGAGGCGUGCAAAUAGCAUUUAUUUUGUUAUUCUAUUAUGGUUAAAAUAUAUUG
This 217-nucleotide long non-coding RNA is filed under the name Ananas comosus (pineapple). RNAcentral describes it as "long non-coding RNA (ACOM_LNC016940)". Lineage: Eukaryota; Viridiplantae; Streptophyta; Magnoliopsida; Poales; Bromeliaceae. The record is from RNAcentral.